This 504-nucleotide ribosomal RNA is filed under the name uncultured bacterium. RNAcentral describes it as "bacterial SSU rRNA". It matches the Rfam family "Bacterial small subunit ribosomal RNA", at positions 29 to 520 of the family's 1533-position model. The record is from RNAcentral.
AGUGAACGCUGGCGGCAGGCCUAAUACAUGCAAGUCGAACGGCAGCACAGCAGAGCUUGCUCUGUGGGUGGCGAGUGGCGGACGGGUGAGGAAUACAUGGGAAUCUGCCCAGUCGUGGGGGAUAACGUAGGGAAACUUACGCUAAUACCGCAUGCGCCCUUCGGGGGAAAGCCGGGGACCUUCGGGCCUGGCGCGAUUGGAUGAGCCCAUGUCGGAUUAGCUAGUUGGCGGGGUAAAGGCCCACCAAGGCGACGAUCCGUAGCUGGUCUGAGAGGAUGAUCAGCCACACUGGAACUGAGACACGGUCCAGACUCCUACGGGAGGCAGCAGUAGGGAAUAUUGGACAAUGGGCGCAAGCCUGAUCCAGCCAUGCCGCGUGAGUGAAGAAGGCCCUCGGGUUGUAAAGCUCUUUUGUCCGGAAAGAAAAGCGCCGGGUUAAUACCCUGGUGUCCUGACGGUACCGGAAGAAUAAGCACCGGCUAACUUCGUGCCAGCAGCCGACGG